This 396-nucleotide ribosomal RNA is filed under the name uncultured bacterium. RNAcentral describes it as "partial 16S ribosomal RNA". It matches the Rfam family "Bacterial small subunit ribosomal RNA", at positions 523 to 918 of the family's 1533-position model. The record is from RNAcentral.
AUACGUAGGGGGCGAGCGUUGUCCGGAAUGAUUGGGCGUAAAGGGCGCGUAGGCGGCCCGGUAAGUCUGGAGUGAAAGUCCUGUUUUUAAGAUUGGAAUUGCUUUGGAUACUGUCGGGCUUGAGUGCAGGAGAGGUAAGUGGAAUUCCCAGUGUAGCGGUGAAAUGCGUAGAGAUUGGGAGGAACACCAGUGGCGAAGGCGACUUACUGGACUGUAACUGACGCUGAGGCGCGAAAGUGUGGGGAGCAAACAGGAUUAGAUACCCUGGUAGUCCACGCGGUAAACGAUGAUCACUAGGUGUCGGCGGCCAUAGGCGGUCGGUGCCGCAGCAAACGCAAUAAGUGAUCCACCUGGGGAGUACGUUCGCAAGAAUGAAACUCAAAUGAAUUGGCGGGG